GACGAACGCUGGCGGCGUGCCUAAUACAUGCAAGUUGAGCGCUGAAGGUUGGUACUUGUACCACCUGGAUGAGCAGCGAACGGGUGAGUAACGCGUGGGUAAUCUGCCUUUGAGCGGGGGACAACAUUUGGAAACGAAUGCUAAUACCGCAUAAAAUCUUUAAACACAAGUUUUAAGUUUGAAAGAUGCAAUUGCAUCACUCAAAGAUGAUCUCGCGUUGUAUUAGCUAGUUGGUGAGGUAAAGGCUCACCAAGGCGAUGAUACAUAGCCGACCUGAGAGGGUGAAUGGCCACAUUGGGACUGGGAAACGGCCCAAACUCCUACGGGGGGCAGCAGUAGGGAAUCUUCGGCAAUGGACGAAAGUCUGACCGAGCAACGCCGCGUGAGGGAAGAAGGUUUUCGGAUCGUAAAACUCUGUUGGUAGAGAAGAACGUUGGUGAGAGUGGAAAGCUCAUCAAGUGACGGUAACUACCCAGAAAGCGACGGCUAACUACGUG
This 497-nucleotide ribosomal RNA is filed under the name uncultured bacterium. RNAcentral describes it as "partial 16S ribosomal RNA". It matches the Rfam family "Bacterial small subunit ribosomal RNA", at positions 28 to 507 of the family's 1533-position model. The record is from RNAcentral.